GAUGAACGCUGGCGGCGUGCCUAAUACAUGCAAGUCGAGCGAACAGAUGAGGAGUUUGCGCCGCUGACGUUAGCGGCGGACGGGAGAGUAACACGUGGAUAACCUACCUAUAAGACGGGGAUAAUUUCGGGAAACGGGAUCUAAUACGGUAGGAUAUAUUGAACCGCGGGGGGCAAUGGUGAGAUACGGUGGUUGGGGCACGUAUAGACGGAUCCGCGCCGCAUUAGCUAGUUGGUAAGGUAACGGCUUACCAAGGCUACGAUGCGUAGCCGAGCUGAGAGGGUGAUCGGCCACAUGGGAACUGAGACACGCUCCAGACUCCUGCGGGAGGCAGCAGUAGGGAAUCUUCCGCAAUGGGCGAGAGCCUGACGGAGCGACGCCGCGUGAGUGAUGACGGUCUUCGGAUCGUAAAACUCUGUUACUAGGGAGAAACAAAUGUCUAAGUAACUAUGCCGGUCUUGACGGUACCUAAUCAAAAAGCCACGGCUAACUACGUG
RNAcentral lists this ribosomal RNA (497 nucleotides) under uncultured bacterium. RNAcentral describes it as "partial 16S ribosomal RNA". It matches the Rfam family "Bacterial small subunit ribosomal RNA", at positions 28 to 507 of the family's 1533-position model. The record is from RNAcentral.